This is a long non-coding RNA of Alligator mississippiensis (American alligator), 2693 nucleotides long. RefSeq lists it as uncharacterized. NCBI's taxonomy places the organism in Eukaryota, Metazoa, Chordata, Crocodylia, Alligatoridae. The record is from RefSeq and is a predicted model, not a curated record. The transcript has 3 exons.
AGAGGGAAGGAAAUGAGGCAACCUUUUUCUUUGCACUGACUCAACCUCCCUGCCAAAUGUUUCCACUUACUGAGGGAGCGAGCCUGGCUCUGCCUGCGCGUGUGUGUGCAGAGCGUGGAGUUCAGUGACAGACGCAAGCUGAGCAGAGCUGCUGCGCUCGCUGCCUGUUUGAUUGAGCCGGGUGCUCGGGAAUUCCUGCUAUGAUGAUUUUUUAAUUCACUCGCUCAGGAGGCUGCUGUCGGUGCCGUGCUAAGAGCCGUGUUUGGCUUUUCUCAAAUGCAGAAAACGGCUGUGGCGUUCUGCCACUUACAGCCCUCCGCUUUGUCCCAGCCGCUCGCGCACCGCUCUGCAAAGCUGUUCAUCAGCUCUGUGGCUGCUGCUCUUGCCGUGCCUGGAGAGAGAAAUUGAAAAUGAUUUGUUUCCACAAUUUGUAGGGUCCGUAGUCUAAACAAACGCCCCCAAACCCACCUACGUCUCUGCUGGAGAGACCUCAGGGCGCGUCAUUUCAGCUUGCCUGGAGGAUUCAGAGACCAGAUGUUCAUAUAUGAAAACACUCAGGAAACAGUGAUGAGGAAACUCCAUUGGGAGCUGAUGCUGAUCUUACUUACACCUGUAUAAAUCAAGCAGAACUUCACUGAAGCAGAACAUCCACAUUCCAGGAAAGACCAUCUUGUUGAGAGCUGGGCAGGAAAUCUUGUUCUUCUGAGGACCCGUGAAGGGAAGGGAAGAUUCAUAGAUUCGCAGAAUUCAAAUCCACAUUAAGUGGAAUUACGCUGGUGUGAAUAUCGUGGGAAGUCUGACUCCGUUCAUGUCACGGCAUGAUAACAUGACUCUACUCCAAAAAAAAAAAAAAAGGACAUGAAGCCAAAAUUACUUGCAGAACUUUCUACCAUACAUGUUUGCCACAAACGCAUUGCAACAGCAUGUAAGCUUUUUACUAAAUACUCUGUAUAGCAUAGAUUUGCUCCUGAGAUUAAUUUUCAGAGCAAAAGCAUACAUUAUGACAUCCCUGGAGAAAAAUACAUGCACACCCAGUCCCCUUUUUGAUUAUCAUUUUACAUGUUUCAUUACAUUUCAAAUCAGGCCUCAGCUCAAUCAUUCAUUUUGCAAGUUAAAUAUUUGUGGGCUGAACUGAUGUCAUGUGGGGUUUGAACAUUAAGGUGCUUAGGUGCAGCCAGAUAAUUGCUCCUAUGUGAUUGCACAGACAAUUGUUUGCAGUUCAACUGUACGUGUCCAAAGCCAGAGUCUGUUUCUAAACACUAGGCUAUUAUUUAGAACACACUUCCUUUGCACCGUGACUUGCUUUCAACUUUAGUUCAAGUCAGAUUUUUCCUUACCCACAUCUAAUUGAAAGUGAAUUAUUUGCUUGUGGGUGAAGGAAACAGCUUCUUGCAAGGAUUAUUUUUACAGUUCAAUCUUUGCUUCUAAUGGGCUAGCUAGUUUUCUCAGUGGGAAGUCUGGAGCAAGGCAAAGAAAUGGACUCCUUACCAGGCUGAGUGUUGGGCCAAAUUCUGUGCUCAUGUGCUCGCUCUCUUUGACAUUGUACAGGUACAAACUCAGGGCAGACUGUAUUUGAUUUGUAUCUCCCUUGAACCUUCUCCUGGCCAUGAUAUGCAGGUUUCUCCUUAGAGGAUAGGGAGGAGGUGCAUCUGAUGCUGAAUCAGCUAUUUUACUUAAUUGACAGGCUUGCUGCUUUCAUCUUUGUUCAGUUAUUUUUAUCUUAUCAUAGUGCUCAGGAGCCCUAGACAUGAAACCAUGGCAUUUUUAUGUUGAGCUCUAUUGCAAACACAGAAUCCUCUUUUUCUCAUCUCUCUUUUGAAUCAGUGCACUUUUUGUUUCGGGUAGGUACUGAACUCAGGAACUGCCUGGCUAAAUUCAGCUUCAAGACUUUAAGAUCUGAUGCAGUCAGAGACUACAUUUUGCACUUCACAGUCUGAUCAUUCUUCCCCGUCUCUGGCUGUAUAUGAUCCCGUACCAUUAUGCAGUAAAGGGAGUUGAGGUGGUUUAAUUCAGAUUGAAAGGAAGGUGGAUUUUUUUUUUUGGAACUACAGUUAAUAGUAUCCUGUCAUUACACAGAAAGGGCUUUUGGGUAGACACUUUGGGUAGGCACAUUUAGGUUAUGCAAUUUAACUGCUUAUUUAAUUAUUAUUUCUUUUAUCUUGUUUCCAUUUUCAUUUUCAAGCCAAUCUGAUUCUCAGGAGAAUGUAAAUAUGCUUAAGAUCAGGGCUUUGGCUUCUGUAAAUUGUGAUAGUUUCAUUCUGAAGUGGAAGUGAGUUAAUGGAAUGUGUUUAUAGACAUCCUUGCUCGUUACUACAUUUUAUAUGCAAUUUUCUUGGGUAUCCCGUUCUGGCAUUUCCCUUUUUAAAUGCUUUCAGGCUCACAAUGAUAGUCACAUCCUCCCCAUAAUGGAUCAAUGCUUUCUUUUGGAGAUGAAGUAGCAAGGUCAGUGGGAUCAGGACACCAGGUGGAAAAAAACCCAAACAGUACAGAGAACGAUAUUCCAGUUAGACUCCAUUUGAUUGUAUGCCACAUAAAGCAUCGGCGUUGGGUUCAAUGUCCCUUACAUCUGGGAACCUGUAUAUCAAUAUGUUUGAAAGAGUCACCAGCAGUAAAGUUGACAAUAGAAGUGUUUUAAUAUAGAGUGUACCAUAGAAACCCAAUGUUUCUUUUGCAGUGAAUUAACAGUCUUUUUU